This is a long non-coding RNA of Sebastes umbrosus (honeycomb rockfish), 1695 nucleotides long. RefSeq lists it as uncharacterized. Lineage: Eukaryota; Metazoa; Chordata; Actinopteri; Perciformes; Sebastidae. The transcript is spliced from 6 exons. The record is from RefSeq and is a predicted model, not a curated record.
AGAAGGAGGUGGAGGAGGAGGAGAAUGAGAAGAAGGAGAUGAUGAGCGCCCCCUACAGGCCUUCAGUAGUACAGCCCGACAUGUGUCGUCACCAGUCUGCUCCCACCUGUCUCCUCAGCUUUUUGGAGGAGUGAUGCAGGUGUUGGAUGGACCGCUGCUGCUGGCUGCUGUAGACUACAUCAAGCUGCAGUUUCCUGUCCAUGCUGUUUGGAACCGCAUUGUUUCUUCCCAAAGUUAACUGUCAGCGACUGCUGCCUAACUGCUAACCAUUCAUAUUCUCACCGUAACCAGUCCAGAGGCCUGAACUACAAACAUUGUAUGUUCAACAUACCCAGGGUAUCUUCUAUCUGGCUUCACUAACCCUAACAACCGAGAUCCCGCUAGGUGGCCCUACAAAGGUGGUUAUCAACUCGAAUCGACUCCCUGACAGACAGACUCUCUCCAGCAAGGGUACGGUGUUGCUGACACAUGUUCCAGUCUGGGGGUCCACUGCCUCCACAAUGACGAAGGGCCUCUCCUCCAGCGUGGCCACCGUCAGAUGCCUGUAAUCGGACACCGGCUCAAGAUGAUUAGAUGGCCAACCUCUACUUUACUGGAGGAUUACAGCCAUGCGUAGCCUAUAGCGCCAACUUCUGUUUAUUCACUCCAAACCAGUUGAUGGAAACGCGCCUAAUUCACAUUUUCUUUUUUGAGACAUUUCAAUAGUUCACUUGACAAUUGAAUGGAAACACAUCUAUUGAUACGAGACCCAUCAUGACACCUGUAUGUGCUUGUUGAACAUGUUAUUCUUAAACCAUUGGCAUUAGUCUGCUGCUAUAACAGCCUCCACUCUUCUGGGAGGGCUUUUCACAAGAUUGUGGAACCUGGCUACAGAGAUUUGCUCUCAUUCAGCAGGAGAGUGUUAGUGAGGCUGAUGUUGAGGUCUGGAUGCUGGUAUGUGUUUCAGUUCAUCCUAAAGAGUGUUGAAUGGGGUUCAGGUCAGAAUCGAGGUCUUCCAUAUCAAAUUUGGAAAAACAUUUAUGUAGGGACCUGGCUUUGCAUGGUUGAAACAGGAAAGGGUCUUCACCAAACUGUUGACACAAAGUCUGAAGCAAACUGUCAAAAUAUCAUUCAAUCUAUAGAUAAAGAUUCCUCUUAAUUGGAAGUAAAAUGCCUUGAACCAAACAAUGGAAAGAGCUCCCUAAGUACACAAAAUAAUGGACAUUGGCGUCCACAUACUCAGGCAGAAACCUAAACCCAAGUAGGUCAGAGAAAUGUAUUGUAAAGUGACAAAAGUGACUUAUUGUAAUCUGUCAGCCCGUUCGCACGAAAUGGUGUAUGAAUGCCACUAUAAUGCGCAAGGUAUUUAGCAUGCAAUAAGAACGCCUUUCUUACGUUUUAUGUCAUUUGUCUUGUAAUCUGUACCGACUCCAAUGUAAGCGCUCCACGUAAAUAUGCUACGAUCAGAGCUAGUGACGUUGAAUACAAAGCGAGAAAGAUCGUUUACGGCGGGCGGGUGGGUCGGUGGUGGGAAGUGGAUGGGUUAUACAAACACACGACUUUUAACUAGGAGACUGAUGUUCGAGACCGAAGUUUUGUUUUGUAAGUUAGUGACAUUUGUCACGUGUUUUUUUGUGAUGCUUUUGUUACGUUGUUUCCGUACGUAUUUUGCUUAGUUUACGUACUUAUUUUAAGCCCAACCAUGACAUUUUUCCU